GACGAACGCUGGCGGCGUGCUUAACACAUGCAAGUCGAACGGAAAGGCCCUGCUUUUGUGGGGUGCUCGAGUGGCGAACGGGUGAGUAACACGUGAGUAACCUGCCCUUGACUUUGGGAUAACUUCAGGAAACUGGGGCUAAUACCGGAUAGGAGCUCCUGCUGCAUGGUGGGGGUUGGAAAGUUUCGGCGGUUGGGGAUGGACUCGCGGCUUAUCAGCUUGUUGGUGGGGUAGUGGCUUACCAAGGCUUUGACGGGUAGCCGGCCUGAGAGGGUGACCGGCCACAUUGGGACUGAGAUACGGCCCAGACUCCUACGGGAGGCAGCAGUGGGGAAUAUUGAACAAUGGGCGGAAGCCUGAUGCAGCAACGCCGCGUGCGGGAUGACGGACUUCGGGUUGUAAACCGCUUUCGACUGUGACGAAGCGUGAGUGACGGUAAUGGGUAAAGAAGCACCGGCUAACUACGUG
This 468-nucleotide ribosomal RNA is filed under the name uncultured bacterium. Its description in RNAcentral is "partial 16S ribosomal RNA". It matches the Rfam family "Bacterial small subunit ribosomal RNA", at positions 28 to 507 of the family's 1533-position model. The record is from RNAcentral.